RNAcentral lists this ribosomal RNA (305 nucleotides) under uncultured bacterium. RNAcentral describes it as "bacterial SSU rRNA". It matches the Rfam family "Bacterial small subunit ribosomal RNA", at positions 333 to 636 of the family's 1533-position model. The record is from RNAcentral.
UCUUGCCUACGGGAGGCAGCAGUGAGGAAUAUUGGUCAAUGGGCGGGAGCCUGAACCAGCCAAGCCGCGUGAGGGAAGAAGGUACAGCGUAUCGUAAACCUCUUUUGUCAGGGAACAAAGGCGGGGACUAGUCCCCGGAUGAGGGUACCUGAAGAAAAAGCAUCGGCUAACUCCGUGCCAGCAGCCGCGGUAAUACGGAGGAUGCGAGCGUUAUCCGGAUUUAUUGGGUUUAAAGGGUGCGUAGGCGGAUCGUUAAGUCAGUGGUCAAAUUGAGGGGCUCAACCCCUUCCCGCCAUUGAAACUUG